UACGGAGGGAGCUAGCGUUGUUCGGAAUUACUGGGCGUAAAGCGCGCGCAGGCGGCUAUCCAAGUCAGUGGUGAAAGCCCGGAGCUCAACUCCGGAACUGCCAUUGAAACUGUUUAGCUUGAGGACGAGAGAGGUGAGUGGAAUUCCCAGUGUAGAGGUGAAAUUCGUAGAUAUUCGCAAGAACACCAGUGGCGAAGGCGGCUCACUGGCCCGGUACUGACGCUGAGGUGCGAAAGCGUGGGGAGCAAACAGG
This 253-nucleotide ribosomal RNA is filed under the name uncultured bacterium. RNAcentral's name for it is "partial 16S ribosomal RNA". It matches the Rfam family "Bacterial small subunit ribosomal RNA", at positions 524 to 776 of the family's 1533-position model. The record is from RNAcentral.